CAAAAGUCUAUACUGUGUAUAUUAUGUUUUUUUCUGAUCUGAUAACCAAGAUGGCUGCCAAGUGACUAACAGGCAGGUAACAUACACAGAGUGGAUAUGCUGGACAAAGGGAUGGCAUGGUAUGGUGCAAGAUUUCAGCAUGUUUGUCAGAAUGGUGCAACACUUAAAAUGUGUUCAUUGUUUCUGGGAUUUUCUAUUUAAUAUUUUCAGACCACAGUUGACCAUGAGUAACUGAAACUGCAGAAAGCAAAACCUCAACUAAGGUAGGACUACCAUGACAGUGGGGCUGCAGAGUGUUAUACAAUGUUAAUGUGAAAAGCGGGUACUGAUUUUUCCCUUGAAAGAAUUGUUACUUGCCCUAGGGUCAGGGCAUGGAAGUGGAGUGGUACAGGGGGAUGGUAAGGCAGAGAGGACAAAGGGUGAUUUUGGGACAUUUGGCAGAGACUGGAAACUUCAGCUCCCUGCCAGUCUGGGAGUGUUCUAGGGUAGGGGUGCUUUGGAAAUGGUGGCUUUAUGAGAAUAUAUUACCUUGAGGAGCUGCAGAAUUCAAGAGAGUGGCCAAGUCCUAGUUGGUGGGAAAAAGGAGGAUGUGUCUGGGGCAGCAAGACAGGAGUAAUGUCAACUGAGAUGAAGAUUGGGAUACAUAAGCCCCCGGGAUAUUGGGAUAGGAACUUCAGAAGAGGAGGGAAAUAGAGUGGUGGGGGGUAUUUGGUGAAGUUGGACCUAUCAAUCACAUUAGUUAUUAAUACUUUAUGGGAUGGGAGAUUCCUCUGUGGGUAAUCUGGAAGACUAAUAGUCGUUCUCAAAUUUUAGCCUGCACCAAAAUCUCCUAGAGGACUUGUUAAAAUAGAGUGCUAGGCACGCCAUCCUGAGUCCCUGAUUUGAUAGGUCUGGGACAGAGCCUGAGAGUUUCCACUGUUAACAAAUGCAUUUAACAAAGGCUGAUAGAACACUAUAUGAGAAACACUGGACUAGACAAAUCACAGCCCACAGGCCUAAUCCAGUCUACCUGUUUUUAUAAACAAAGUUUUAUUGAAACCGUACUUUCUAGUUUGAACUUUUUUUUUCAUAAGACGAUACUUCUUUUAUGCAAGUACCAUUAAUUUUUAUACAUUUCUUUGCUCAUAAGGUUUAAAUUCCUGGUAGUGAUAGCAAUCAGAUUUAUAAAAGUAAGAUUUAUUAUGAAGUGAGGUAGCCUGUGCCUAUUAAUGCUACUGAAUUGCUGGCUAUUUUGAAAAUUGAGAUGUCAAUAUUGCAGUUGGCUUGAAAUGCAAGGUAUCUUUUAUAUGCUUAUAAAGAUGGAAAGAAGCUUUGCAUUUAGCAUUUUCCAUUUAGGCUUUGUGAAAAUUGUUCUUAUUUUAAAAAUAGCCUUAACGUGUGUGUGUGUGUGUUUCCUGAAUAUUCUAGAUGGUACAUGGUAUUCUGAAAACUGAAAGUCACACCACCAGGAAUAAAAUUAGGAAAAGUAGGAAUUGGAGGGAGGUCUCUAGAAAUGCUGUAGUAUUAUCUGAAUACCUCAAAUCUAAUCUAGGUCAUCUGGGUAGAAAUUCUGGGAGGGAUUUAUUUAAAUAUAAAUAAAAAUUUGUAUACGUAAACAUUUGAAGAAAGAUUUGUUUUUUUUUCUUUUAGAGUAAGAGGUGGUUGGCAUGCAUGUAUGAAAGGAAGGAAUUCAAAGUGUCUAGAAUUGGCAAUGUCUCUGGAGAGCAUGCAUUUGCUAUUGGGUGCCAGCCAUUAAGAUGAUCUCAUUCAUUUCUCCUCUGAUUCUGUGAUUGUUAAGUAACUUUUGGAUCACAUUUGGCUUCAUUUGGAUUUGCCUAUAGGAAGAGAAAGUGCUGAGUAGUAAAUAUAGGAAGCUGUCUACUUGGUAGUUGUAUUUCUCCCCAUGAAUGAUUUUUAUGCAUAUUCCCUGAGAGCUUGGCGAGUUUUGAAACUACCCAGGAUUCAGAUGUAUUCUUUUUGUACUGACAGUCACCUCUUACCUUGCAAGACUGAAGGCUGGACCCCACACUAUGGUCAGCAAAUUGAAGUGUUGCUGUGGGGGUCCAGUCAGGGUGACCAGCUUACCUAACAUCUAAUUUUAUUGGCCAUAUUUUAAAUUUAAGUUGUCUUGAUUGCAACUUAAAUUGUACAGAAUGAGUAGACUACUAGUAAACUAGGAAAAGAAAGUUUUUCUUGUAGAAAACUAGGAAAAGACAAAGAAGUCUAUUGACAACAGGGAAUAGGCUGGAGAUGAGGACCUGACCCAAGCUGGACCAAUUAGAACCCUUCCUUGGGAUUUUUGAAGCCAAUCUGCCAAGAAAAAAAAAAUCCACUAAUCCACAGAGCGAAGCACAGAUGAGGAUGGACAAUGAACACCCUGCCUGCAGUCCACAUAUUCCUGAGGGCCAGGAGCCCUUUCAUGGAAUGCCCAAGAACCCCUGUUGGUGCUCUGCAGAUGAGAAAAAUAGCUACUGAGAUCCUUGUUCCCUUGCUGAAGCUGGAAGGCCUCGUGGUCUGGAGAAAUGCCAGCUUUCGCAGUGGUUCAUCUGAGAACAGUGGAUGCUGGUCUUUCUCUGGGUAAUCCUUGGUCGAGAAUACUUUCUCCCCAAUUGGCCUGGGUUGUCAGGGAAGAGAGUAUUCAUCUGAGAAACUGCUUUGACAGUAUCAUUAAUAUCAUCAUUUUACAGACAAGGAAACAGAAGCUUAGAAAUGGUAAGUUGAUCAGUGUCAUAAGAGGUAACCUGACCUGACCAUAAGACCUGACCGUAAGAGGUCAGGUCUUCCACUUCACCUAAGUGAAGCCAGGCUUCCCAAGGCACAGCUCAGCACCUGCAGAGCCACAUUGCAAUGAGUUACAGCACCAUCCACUUACUGCCUAGAAUCAGCAUUUUGUUCCAGAAACAUAGGUCCGGGUUGCCCAGACCACACUCCCUAUUCCUCUUGGUGAUUUUCUUUCAUUUCUUCCACCACCUGGCCCCACGUGGGUCCACUCUUGUCCAUCAGAUGUGUUCUAAUAAAUAGUUAAAUACUAAACCCUCUUCUUCCAGAAGCAUCCUUGGUUCCUUCUACAUAUAUGUGUAGAUUCAUAUAUGUAAAAAAAGUAUGAAAAAGGAUCUUUCAUCAAUUUACUUAUCAGCUUCUUCUAAACCCAUGCUGUUUCCAAGCUGCAUAUCCAAUAAUAAAAAGUCACUAUUCCAAAACCAGUGGGUAGGAAUGAAAUUACUUUACCCAGGUGUAACUCAAAGGGAUCACUGAGUGAUUAUUUCCAGAACAAUGGGAUGACUUGCUCCAAAGGGCCUCAGUCUGUCACCCAUGCUGGAGUGCAGUGGUGGC
Molecule: long non-coding RNA, 3312 nt
Organism: Nomascus leucogenys (northern white-cheeked gibbon)
Lineage: Eukaryota; Metazoa; Chordata; Mammalia; Primates; Hylobatidae
Exons: 4
Source: RefSeq, a predicted model, not a curated record